GGUUUUUGGCCAAUCUGUUAGGAGGAUAACUCGGUUUGAAAUGCUGAUGAAGGACGUGGCAAGCUGCGAAAAGUCUUGGCUAGGUGCAUGCAGCCAUUGAACCAAGAAUUUCUUAAUCAGACUUCUGAUCUCUUCGGAGAUGGUUGGUAACAAUCGGGAACGCAGGGAACUGAAGCGUCUUAGUACCUGCAGGAAAAGAAAUCAAUUGAGAUGUUGUUAGUAUCAGCGAGAAAAAACAGCGUAAAGCAAACUGAAUCUAGUAUAGAAAUAUAUUAGAGAUGUGGUGUUUAGAACUGCUUUUAAUCUUAACUAAAUAACUCAAAGUUUCUUGGAAUAGAAUGCCUUAGUGGGUGAUAGCCCCUUAGAGGAACUUUAGAAAGAUUUUGUAGUUUCUUGAGUAGUGCCUAUCGGAAAUUAGGUAUGAAUAUGGGAGACAUUAACUUCCAACUUUAAAUACAUUUCAAGACCGAUAGUAAACUUAGUACUGUGAAGGAAAGGUGAAAAGAACCUAUAACAGGGAAUUAAAAGACUUGAAACCUAACAGAUAUAGUGAGCUACGGCUCUUAGGAGUUGUAGCGUACGUUUCGAAUAACGGGCCAGGGAGUGUAUCUUAGUGGCGAGAAUAAAUGCUUAAUGCAUGCAUUCAUAAGGAAACUAAAUUUCUGCAGUUUACGAGAGAAUGGGUAUGAAAAUGCCUAAGUCACUAGGGUACGACCUGAAACCAGACGAUCUAACCCAGGGUAUGAUGAAGCGGGGGUUAACCUCGUGGAGGUCAGAAGAGGUGCUGCGUGCAUGUGUUCUUCUAACUUUGGGUUAGGGGUGAAAAGCCAAUCGAGUCUGGUGAUAGCUGGUUCCUGCCGAAAUAGGCUUUAGUCUAGUGGUACACGAGAUAGUAAAGAAGGUAGAGCUACGGAUUGAGGAUUUAGGGAGAGAAAUCUCUCGGUUCUCUGUUCAACUCCAAAUUUCUUUACAUUGUAGACUGUACUAAACGGGGUAUCUGGGGUAAACUUGAUAUCCGUAAGGGGAACAACCCAGCCUAUGGUUAAGGUCCCAAAAUACCAAUUAAGUGUUAACGGGCGAAAGGUGUGCAUAACCACAGACAGAAGGGAGGUUUGCUUAGAAGCAGCAAUCCUUUAAAGAAAGCGUAACAGCUCACCUUUCUAGGUUAUGUGCCCUGAAAAUUUACGGGACUAAAUUGGUUACCGAUACCAUAGACUACUGAAUAAGUAGGGGUAGGCAGGCUUUCUGAAAGGGUAGAAGCUAAUUCGUAAGAAAAAGUGGACCUUUUAGAAAUGAGAAUCCUGGUGGUAGUAAGAUCAAAGUAGCGUGAGAAUCGCUAUUGCCGUAGGGGCCAGGGUUUCUCAGCAAUAUAGUUUAGCUGAGAGUAAGUCGAUCUUGAUCUGAUUGGUAACGUAUGUCAGAGAAAAGGAAAGCAGUUAAAAUUCUGCUACUAAGUAAUUACAUGUGGCAACACAAGCUUAACUUCUGACAUUUAUGGCUAGAUUGACAUCUACAAUCGUGGAUGCUAAUAAGAAUAAAUCAAGGGAGAAUCGUCAAGGUGAGAACUUGUUUAAAUCUUAAAAUGAUUAAUCUUAAGGUUAAUUCAAUUAAUGCCAUGAGUUGAUAAAAAGGGAGUUAAGAUGGAUAUUACUUAACCGUACCUAGAACCAACACUGGUGCCCCUAGGUGAGUAGCCUAAGGUAUGAGGGCGUAAUCCGGCUAAGGGAAAUCGGCAAAUUAGCUCUGUGACUUCGGUAUAAGGAGUCCCUGCUCUCGUGCUCUUAUGAGUGGCGAGUACAGGGUGCAAUAACAAAGGCGGUCCGACUGUUUAACAAAAACGCAACUAUCUGCUAGUCCGUAAGGAUGUGUAUAGGUGGUGACGUCUGCCCAGUGCCAGUAUCUAAAACUUCCUUUCAAGGGAGCUAAGGACUGGUAAACGGCGGGAAUAACUAUAAUUCUCUUAAGGUGAAUUUCGUCGCUUUAAGACCCAAAGUUAGACAGGAUAACAAAGAAGAUUGGGAUAAAAAUCUGGCUAAAUGCUGGAAAAUCCGAGAAUCUCGCAUUACCGAAAGUAUUUUAAGGUUUAAAUAUACCUUAAUUUUAAAGGUGAAAAUGUGACGAGUGCGGAUGAUCAGCAGGAAAGACUAGAUGAAAAUUGGAUUGUAGGGUUUGUCGAUGGAGAAGGUUGUUUUCAUGUAGCUAUAAACAAGCUACAGAAAAUGACUUUAGGUUGGCAAGUACUUCCAGAGUUCAGAGUUGUUCAACAUCAACGUGAUGAAACACUUCUCUAUAGAUUCAAAUCUUUUUUUGAAUUUGGAGACGUUUGUAUAAAUCAUGGAGAUAGAAAAGAAUUCAGAGUAAGGGGAUUAGAAAACUUGAAUAAAUUAGUAAAGUUCUUCAAAAAAUAUCCUCUGCAAACUUCUAAACAAAAGAAUUUUGAGAUCUUUUCUGAAGUCAUUUCUUUGAUGAAUGAGAAACAACAUCUAACAAAAAUUGGAUUAAAGAAAAUUGCUAAUCUUGCUUCAAAGAUGAACAGACAAAUCAAAAGAAAUCUAGAAUCCUCAGAGACUAUACGCCAGAGUUCUUAAUAAGAACAAGAUAUAGUCCGACCCUCUAGGCGACUAGAGGAGAUGUACAGAAAUGUAUGUCCGCCAUUGAAAGAUGGUUAGUACCUUUAUGAGGGAAAGUAACAGAUGUGAGCGAAAUGCCUUGUCGUUUGAAUGACGACGUGCAUGAACGGCGUAACGAGAUUGCCACUGUCCCUAGUUGGAUGCCCCCGAAACACACCAUUCUGGUGCAAAGGCCAGAGACCUCCAGUGGGAAGCGAAGACCCCGUAGAACUUUACUGCAGCUUGUUGUUGCGGUGUGAACUCUGAUGUGUAGCAUAGGUAGUAGUUGUAGAGGCUCUGAUCCAAGUUAGAGUGGAGACAAAAAAUGAAAUACUACCCUUUAGAGUUUACAUUGCUUACCUGUAAUACAGGGACACCAGCAGGUGGGUAGUUUGGCUGGGGCGGCACCCUGCUGAAAUGAUAUCAGCAGGGCCCAAUGGUCAGCUCAGGAAGCUUGGAAAUCUUCUGUAGAGUGCAAGGGCAAAAGCUGGCCUGACUGUAUUCUGACAUAUAAGGAAUGCAGCACAGAAAUGUUGGCCUAGCGAACCCUCGUGUCCUUCUUAAUGAGGGCCGGGUAUGACAGAAAAGCUAUCUCGGGGAUAAUUGAGUCGUAGCACCUAAGAGCUCAAAUCGACGGUGCUGCUUGCUGCUUCGAUGUCGGCUCUUCCUAUCCCUGGCGUGCAGCAGCGCCCAAGGGUACGGGAGUUCACCGGUUAAAAGGGAUCGUGAGCUGGGUUAAGAACGUUGUGAGACAGUUUGUAUGAUAUCUACUGGAGGUGUCGGUGUCUGAAGGAAAGGAUGCUUUAGUACGAGAGGAACGAGCGUUCGGUGCCUCUGGUUUAUCGGUUAUCUGAUAAGGUAGGCCGAGCAGCUACGCACCACGUGGAUAAGUCCUGAAUGCAUCUAAGGACGAAACCACUCUUGAAAAAAGACACUAGGUGCUCUUCUAGAAGAGAAGUUUGAUAGGAUCAGGGUGUAAGCAUCAAGGUAACGAGAUGUUCAGCCUGUGAUUACUAAUCGCACCAAAACCCAAAAAUU
RNAcentral lists this ribosomal RNA (3647 nucleotides) under Candidatus Woesearchaeota archaeon. RNAcentral's name for it is "23S ribosomal RNA". It matches the Rfam family "Archaeal large subunit ribosomal RNA". Lineage: Archaea; Nanobdellati; Candidatus Woesearchaeota. The record is from RNAcentral.